UAGGGAAUCUUCGGCAAUGGACGAAAGUCUGACCGAGCAACGCCGCGUGAGUGAAGAAGGUUUUCGGAUCGUAAAACUCUGUUGUUAGAGAAGAACAAGGACGUUAGUAACUGAACGUCCCCUGACGGUAUCUAACCAGAAAGCCACGGCUAACUACGUGCCAGCAGCCGCGGUAAUACGUAGGUGGCAAGCGUUGUCCGGAUUUAUUGGGCGUAAAGCGAGCGCAGGCGGUUGCUUAAGUCUGAUGUGAAAGCCCCCGGCUCAACCGGGGAGGGUCAUUGGAAACUGGGAGACUUGAGUGCAGAAGAGGAGAGUGGAAUUCCAUGUGUAGCGGUGAAAUGCGUAGAUAUAUGGAGGAACACCAGUGGCGAAGGCGGCUCUCUGGUCUGUAACUGACGCUGAGGCUCGAAAGCGUGGGGAGCAAACA
Molecule: ribosomal RNA, 427 nt
Filed under: uncultured bacterium
Lineage: Bacteria
Description: partial 16S ribosomal RNA
Rfam family: Bacterial small subunit ribosomal RNA
Source: RNAcentral